Molecule: ribosomal RNA, 380 nt
Filed under: uncultured archaeon
Lineage: Archaea
Description: bacterial SSU rRNA
Rfam family: Archaeal small subunit ribosomal RNA
Source: RNAcentral
ACUCUACAAUGCAGGCAACUGCGAUAGGGGAACAUCGAGUGAUCCUCAUAUUGGGGGUCUGUCCACCCGUCUAAAAAGCGGGUGUUAGCAAGGGCCGGGCAAGACCGGUGCCAGCCGCCGCGGUAAUACCGGCGGCUCGAGUGGUGGCCGAUAUUAUUGAGUCUAAAGGGUCCGUAGCCGGCUUUGCAAGUCUCUCGGGAAAUCCAGCGGCUUAACCGUUGGUCGUCCGGGGGGUACUACAUUGCUUGGGACUGGGAGAGGUAGGAGGUACUCAGGGGGUAGGAGUGAAAUCCUGUAAUCCUUUGGGGACCACCGGUGGCGAAGGCGUCCUACCAGAACAGGUCCGACGGUGAGGGACGAAAGCUAGGGGCACGAACCGG